Molecule: ribosomal RNA, 273 nt
Filed under: uncultured soil bacterium
Lineage: Bacteria
Description: partial 16S ribosomal RNA
Rfam family: Bacterial small subunit ribosomal RNA
Source: RNAcentral
AGAAUCAACGCUGGCGGCGUGCCUCAGACAUGCAAGUCGAACGCGAAAGUCCCCUUCGGGGGGCAAGUAGAGUGGCGCACGGGUGAGUAACACGUAGGUAAUCUACCUUUGGAUGGGGAAUAACAACCGGAAACGGUUGCUAAUACCGCAUAAUGCAGCGGCACCUAAUGGUGACAGUUGUUAAAGCGGGGGAUCGAAAGACCUCGCGUCUAAAGAGGAGCCUGCGGCGGAUUAGCUAGUUGGUAAGGUAAUGGCUUACCAAGGCGACGAUCC